UACGAGGGGUGCAAGCGUUGCUCGGAAUUAUUGGGCGUAAAGGGUAGGUAGGUGGUCCUAUUUGUCUGAGGUGAAAUCCCAGGGCUUAACCCUGGAAGUGCCUUAGAAACGGUAGGACUAGAGUUCUAGAGGGGUUUGUGGAAUUCCCGGUGUAGCGGUGAAAUGCGUAGAGAUCGGGAGGAACACCAGCAGCGAAGGCGGCAAACUGGAUAGAUACUGACACUCAACUACGAAAGCGUGGGUAGCAAACAGG
This 253-nucleotide ribosomal RNA is filed under the name uncultured bacterium. Its description in RNAcentral is "partial 16S ribosomal RNA". It matches the Rfam family "Bacterial small subunit ribosomal RNA", at positions 524 to 776 of the family's 1533-position model. The record is from RNAcentral.